RNAcentral lists this ribosomal RNA (495 nucleotides) under uncultured bacterium. RNAcentral's name for it is "partial 16S ribosomal RNA". It matches the Rfam family "Bacterial small subunit ribosomal RNA", at positions 28 to 523 of the family's 1533-position model. The record is from RNAcentral.
GAUGAACGCUGGCGGCGUGCUUAACACAUGCAAGUCGAGCGAAGCACUUUGGUUUGAUUCUUCGGAUGAAGACCUUUGUGACUGAGCGGCGGACGGGUGAGUAACGCGUGGGUAACCUGCCUCAUACAGGGGGAUAACAGUUAGAAAUGACUGCUAAUACCGCAUAAGACCACGGUACCGCAUGGUACAGUGGUAAAAACUCCGGUGGUAUGAGAUGGACCCGCGUCUGAUUAGGUAGUUGGUGGGGUAACGGCCUACCAAGCCGACGAUCAGUAGCCGACCUGAGAGGGUGACCGGCCACAUUGGGACUGAGACACGGCCCAGACUCCUACGGGAGGCAGCAGUGGGGAAUAUUGCACAAUGGAGGAAACUCUGAUGCAGCGACGCCGCGUGAAGGAUGAAGUAUUUCGGUAUGUAAACUUCUAUCAGCAGGGAAGAAAAUGACGGUACCUGACUAAGAAGCCCCGGCUAACUAUGUGCCAGCCGCCGCAGUAA